AGCCCUUGGACAGGCAGAUGGUGCCAGAUUUUUGAAAACAAUAUUGUGAGUAGUUAUCCAGCGUUCUGUCCUGCUUGAUCUCGUUCUUUGACCUUGCCUUGUAUAAUGGAUUACUCCCCCUGUCUGACGGAUUGGAUCCUGGUUUUCGACUCUGUUUUCUGCCUCUGGUUUCAUGCUUCUGCCUGCCCCUUGUCUGACGCCUCUAGCCCUGGAACUGGACCCUGUGUCUGUUUACGGAUUUAUGCCCCUGCCAAGCCCCUGGUUUAUUCAGCCUGCAUCCGCCUGCCUCUCAAGCCUGCCAGGAGCAGCAGUCAAGAGGACUCCCUGCUCUCUGUGUUCCAACCAGAGCUUAUGAGGAAUUGGAUCAGUCGACAAUCGGACUUCAGUCUAUUGAACGCCUCCACAAGGAGUGUCCGGAUUACUUCCUCUUCUGGGUUCUGGGCUUCAUUCCCAGUCUGAGAAGAGACCCAUGGAGGUCGACUUCUGCUUUCCUGUGUGCUGAUCCUGUAUUGCUGAAUAAACCUUUUAACUUUUUA
Long non-coding RNA from Girardinichthys multiradiatus, 536 nucleotides. RefSeq lists it as uncharacterized. The transcript has 2 exons. The record is from RefSeq and is a predicted model, not a curated record. Lineage: Eukaryota; Metazoa; Chordata; Actinopteri; Cyprinodontiformes; Goodeidae.